AGUCGAGGGGCAGCAUAUCCAGCAAUGGGUGAUGGCGACCGGCGGAAGGGUGCGUAACGCGUGAGCAACAUACCCUAUACAGGGGGAUAAGCCAGGGAAACUUGGUCUAAUAUCCCAUAGGAAAUAGAUAAGGCAUCUUAUUUAUUUUAAAGCUUCGGUGGUAUAGGAUUGGCUCGCGUGACAUUAGCUAGAUGGAGGGGUAACGGCCCACCAUGGCAAUGAUGUCUAGGGGUUCUGAGAGGAAGAUCCCCCACACUGGGACUGAGACACGGCCCAGACUCCUACGGGAGGCAGCAGUGAGGAAUAUUGGACAGUGGAUGGAAAUCUGAUCCAGCCAUGCCGCGUGCAGGAAGACGGCCCUAUGGGUUGUAAACUGCUUUUAUACGGGAGCAAUAAGGUCUAUGCAUAGAUUGAUGAGAGUACCGUAUGAAUAAGCAUCGGCUAACUCCGUGCCAGCAGCCGCGGUAAUACGGAGGAUGCGAGCGUUAUCCGGAUUUAUUGGGUUUAAAGGGUGCGUAGGCGGCUUUGUAAGUCAGCGGUG
This 541-nucleotide ribosomal RNA is filed under the name uncultured bacterium. RNAcentral describes it as "bacterial SSU rRNA". It matches the Rfam family "Bacterial small subunit ribosomal RNA", at positions 60 to 596 of the family's 1533-position model. The record is from RNAcentral.